This 28-nucleotide small RNA is filed under the name Bombyx mori (domestic silkworm). RNAcentral's name for it is "ovarian small RNA-31645". The record is from RNAcentral. Lineage: Eukaryota; Metazoa; Arthropoda; Insecta; Lepidoptera; Bombycidae.
UGACCUGGCGCCGAAUCUUGCUGGAAGA